GACGAACGCUGGCGGCGUGCUUAACACAUGCAAGUCGAACGGAAAGGCCCUGCUUUUGUGGGGUGCUCGAGUGGCGAACGGGUGAGUAACACGUGAGUAACCUGCCCUUGACUUUGGGAUAACUUCAGGAAACUGGUGCUAAUACCGGAUAGGAGCUCCUGCUGCAUGGUGGGGGUUGGAAAGUUUCGGCUGUUGGGGAUGGACUCGCGGCUUAUCAGCUUGUUGGUGGGGUAGUGGCUUACCAAGGCUUUGACGGGUAGCCGGCCUGAGAGGGUGACCGGCCACAUUGGGACUGAGAUACGGCCCAGACUCCUACGGGAGGCAGCAGUGGGGAAUAUUGCACAAUGGGCGGAAGCCUGAUGCAGCAACGCCGCGUGCGGGAUGACGGCCUUCGGGUUGUAAACCGCUUUCGCCUGUGACGAAGCGUGAGUGACGGUAAUGGGUAAAGAAGCACCGGCUAACUACGUG
RNAcentral lists this ribosomal RNA (468 nucleotides) under uncultured bacterium. Its description in RNAcentral is "partial 16S ribosomal RNA". It matches the Rfam family "Bacterial small subunit ribosomal RNA", at positions 28 to 507 of the family's 1533-position model. The record is from RNAcentral.